GCCGCCCGCACUGGGCAAAUCAAGAAUCCGACUUCUUCGCAACGGAGCCAGGUUCGCGACUCUCCGAGAGAGAUAAAAGGAAGAAGAGAGGGACGGUGGCACUGUCAGAUGAAACCCUAGCACACUACGGGGAGGAACACAACUUCUUCUUGAUCGAUCCGACCUUCGCGACCCCAUGGGAUCGGCCUGCUGUUAAGAGCAAAACCUGCAAAUUACCCACCAACAGAGGAGUCAGGCAUUGCUGCGGCGUUCUUUGGUUUGCUGGGUUUCCUUGUUCAUGCCUCCUGGUUUCUUCCAAAUCUCCAAGAGCAACCAUGUCACUCACAUAUAGCGACUCAACGGAUGGGGCUCAAAGGUUGAAUAUUGAAAAUGGCCAUUGUUCUCCACAUCCAGGUCUACUCAAAUAUAGAAGACGUAAAGUUUUUGUUGUUCGGGAUUUCCCUCCUGGCUGUGGUCGUAGUGUUCUACAAAAUAACUCAAUCCCCAUAAAAGUUGCGACAGGCGAUGCGAUUGAUAAUUCUCACUCAAGGUAUAAUGGUGUGUUGGGAAGCGUGGAGAUGCCUGAAACAAAUACUACAUUAGAAUUGACUACAAAAAAAUCCAAUAUUUUUGGUCUAAAGGAUGGCCAUAGUACGAUGAAUGUUGAAUCAUUGUUGAUUGAUAAUUUGGAAGGCAGAGAUGGAGCCACUGAAAAUAUAAUAAAUAAUGUAGGAGACGACGAUUCAUUGAAGAAUUUGCAUGAAGUGGUUGUUUCAUCUAGAAAAGAUGAGACAGUUGAGCCCAGUAAUUUGAGACCAUGCUCACCAACCGAUUACUUCUUAUUUGUUUCUAAUGGCAAGGACGUGAAGAAGACUGUGGUUAGAAGAUACCCUCCGAGAAGAAAAGUUUCGGCUAUUAGAGAUUUCCCUCCCUUUUGUGGACAAAAUGCCCCUCCUUUAUCCAAGGAGGUGUGCUCCUCAAUGCUUACCUCUCAAAAUAUUUAUGCUGUAGAUAGAGAUAAUUUCGGGCUUCAUUGUAAGUCAUCAAAUUUGGGUAAAGAUGCAGAAUAUGUGGUAGAUAAUGUUCACAAAGUAGAACACAAUAUCGAAUUAAUUUCUGAGAGUAGACUAAAUGAAGCAAAAGAAGGUUUGGAGGAAAAACUGGGGAAGGAAAUUGUGGUUUACACGGGAGAUACGACUACAAAAGAAAAAAUUUCAGAUAUGCCCUCUCGUCAGAAGAUAUUAGAAAUUGAACCUUUUGAGCAAGCCCUUGCAUCUGAAAGGGUUGUCGUGCAAGGUCUUAUGGCUGCACCUAAUUGUCCUUGGAGGCAGGGGAAAUCUAACUACAAGCCCUCCCUAGGAGGUGGUUCAAGUGAAAGGAAAGUGAAGAAACGUGACCAUGGUCUUUCAGAGAAAUCAGAAUCUAUUUUAAGAAAGGAAGAUGUAAAAGAGUGUCAUAAAAAAUCUUCAAAGAAGAAAUCAAUUGUAAAUAGGGACGCUGGUAAUGGGGAAAUGCGCCAGCUAGUUAUUACGGGUGGCACGGAUAUAGGUGCCAGUGACAAUGAAAAUAUCGAUUUUCAUGUGAAUCAUAGAUCCUAUAAUACUGAUGUGAGUCUCAUUCCAUUUUCUCAAACUAAUGAAAACGGAAAUGAUCACGGUAGUGAUUCUAAAGGUACUAGGACUGUAGUAAGAGAGACAUUGCGACUUUUUCAAGCGGUAUGUAGGAAGCUCUUGCAGGAAGAAGAAGCAGGGAAAAAGGACCAAGGAAAUGCAUCCAGGAGGAUUGAUUUUAUAGCCGCAAAAAUUCUCAAGGACAAAGGGAAAUAUGUUAACGUGGGUAAACAAAUCCUAGGUUCGGUCCCUGGAGUUGAAGUUGGAGAUGAAUUCCGAUAUAGGAUAGAACUUAAUAUCAUAGGACUUCAUCGCCAAACUCAGGGUGGCAUAGAUUAUGUGAAGCAUGGUCAAAAGAUCAUUGCUACUAGUAUUGUUGCAUCUGGGGGAUACACAAAUAACCUCGAUAACUCAGAUGUAUUGAUUUACACAGGCCAAGGAGGAAAUGUGAUGAAUUCAGACAAGAAACCUGAAGAUCAAAAGUUGGAACGAGGAAACCUUGCAUUGAAGAAUAGUUUUGAUGACAAGAGUCCUGUUAGAGUGAUUCGCGGCUCUGAGUCAUCUGAUGGAAGAACAUAUGUCUAUGAUGGGCUAUAUUUGGUGGAGAAAUGGUGGCAAGAUAUGGGUCCUCAUGGUAAGCUGAUUUUCAAGUUUCAAUUGUAUCGAAUUCCAGGUCAACCUGAACUUGCUUGGAACGUACUAAAGAAGUCAAAAAAAUUCAAAGUAAGAGAAGGUCUUUGUGUGGAUGAUAUUUCUCAAGGGAAAGAAUCAAUUCGUAUUUGUGCAGUGAACAUCAUAGAUGAUGAGAAGCCACCGCCAUUUAAUUACAUCACAAAAAUGAUAUAUCCUGAUUGGUGCUGCCCAAUUCCUCUCAAGGGUUGUGAUUGUACUAAUGGGUGCUCAGAUUCUGACAGAUGUUAUUGUGCCGUCUUGAAUGGAGGAGAGAUUCCAUUUAAUCAUAAUGGGGCUAUUGUUGAAGCGAAGUCUCUUGUCUAUGAGUGUGGUCCUUCGUGCAAGUGUCUUCCUUCUUGUCAUAAUCGAGUUAGUCAGCAUGGUAUCAAAUUUCAACUAGAAAUUUUUAAAACCAAAUCUAGGGGAUGGGGUGUGAGAUCCCUAAAUUCAAUUCCCUCAGGAAGCUUUAUUUGUGAAUACAUAGGUGAGCUUCUCGAGGAUAAGGAAGCAGAACAAAGAACUGGUAAUGAUGAGUAUUUGUUUGAUAUUGGGAAUAACUACAGUGACAAUUCUCUUUGGGAUGGACUUUCAACCCUCUUGCCUGAUGCACAGUCGAAUGCUAGUGAUAUUGUGGAGGAUGGUAGUUAUACCAUUGAUGCGGCAAAUUAUGGUAAUAUUGGGAGAUUUAUCAACCACAGUUGUUCACCCAAUCUUUAUGCCCAAAAUGUCCUUUAUGAUCAUGAGGAUAAGAGAAUUCCGCAUAUUAUGUUCUUUGCGGCCGAGAAUAUUCCUCCUCUACAAGAGCUGUCUUACCAUUACAAUUAUAUGAUGGAUCAGGUUCGUGAUUCUGAUGGAAACAUUAAAAAGAAGAGAUGUCAUUGUGGUUCCACAGAAUGUACUGGUUGGAUGUAUUGAGUUGGACCUAGAAGUUUCAAUCAGGAGGCUAUAUGUUUCAUCUUGUAACAUUUUUCAGGUAUCAACAUUUUUUAGGUAUCAAAUAGACAAUGAAAAUAGAACUAUGAAGGAGAAUUUUGAAUGGGGCAAGAGUUAUCUCUACAGCCGUGAAAUAUGGAAGAUUGACAUGGCCUCUUCUCUGCUUGGGCUUUUAUCAUCUGAAGGCAGACCGUAGGUGUUGCCAAGGCAAAGAUUUGUGGUCCAUCUUAUAUGACAUAAAUUUUCCUCCAAAACUCCGGGAAUGCAAACAAACAAAGAUGAAUGUUAACCCCUUAAGCAUAUGGCAUCUGGAGAAUAUAUGUAGCAUGUGACCAUAUGGUAACUGCUCAUUGUUUCUGGUAUUUUCAUCAUACUCCAUGCUGGUGAUUACAUCAGGAAAUAUGCCUUUGAGAAAAACCGAACUUGCAAUAGGUACCUGCAUAUGAUGGGGAUGUGUAAUAUCAUCUCCCAUGACGUGUAAUAUCAUCUCCCAUGACUCUUCCUUUUCAUCUAUCAUGAAAAGUUUGUUUUUUGUUAAAAAAAAAGGUAAUUAUUGGACAUCCUGCUUUUUAUUCUGAGUAGCUGUGGCUUCAUGUCGAGAUGUCUUGUGGCAAGAGUUGCCAACUUGCUAGGGAAGUUGCAGCAAAAAUUGAGCAAAUUCAAGCACUUUGCUGCCCAGUGCCCUCAAGUACUUUCAGAGGCAAUGCAUACUGAAAUGAAGGCGUUGCUUGACUGACACAAGAGGCAUAUGCUGUGAUGGAAUGAGAGAGCAGUGCUCGCUGCUCUGGUUUGCUUGAGGAUGUGUCUGCCUCAUAUGUGGUGUUUUAGUGUCAAAAUUACACAGGUUUUCAUUGCCAUGUAACAAUUUUCAAGUUGCAAAUUAUGAGGUGUUUUUUUUGUACACUGGAAAUUUUGGUAAGGAUUUUGAGCUUGAUCAUGUAGAUAUUUUGGCAUUUUUAAGAGAAAUUGAAAGUGGGAAUGGGAAUGUUGAUGAGGUUCUUUUUCUUUGUAACUUUUCUGGUGCAAAUUGUGACAGUUAAACAUCCUGGUAAUCUGUUUCACUGUUUUA
This is an RNA transcript of Momordica charantia (bitter melon), 4263 nucleotides long. It is a transcript of the gene named histone-lysine N-methyltransferase, H3 lysine-9 specific SUVH6, with no coding region annotated. Lineage: Eukaryota; Viridiplantae; Streptophyta; Magnoliopsida; Cucurbitales; Cucurbitaceae. The record is from RefSeq and is a predicted model, not a curated record.